AGACGGAUGAAGAGGACAAAGUCCGUGCAACUCAGAACCUGCAAUUCAGAAGCUAACGAGACUAUCACUAUGCAGUCCUAUUGCGAGUCUUUGAACAGAGUUCAAGAGAUGUGAAACAACUGGUACGCACUGGCGGUGCAGUGCACGACCCUGCAAAGCCAAGGUGCAGAAACCACCAGCGGCGUGUUUAAGCCUGCAGCCAUCAGUC
Branchiostoma belcheri (Belcher's lancelet) is the source of this 208-nucleotide long non-coding RNA. RefSeq lists it as uncharacterized. The record is from RefSeq and is a predicted model, not a curated record. Lineage: Eukaryota; Metazoa; Chordata; Leptocardii; Amphioxiformes; Branchiostomatidae. The transcript is spliced from 3 exons.